This 200-nucleotide ribosomal RNA is filed under the name uncultured Clostridium sp. Its description in RNAcentral is "partial 16S ribosomal RNA". It matches the Rfam family "Bacterial small subunit ribosomal RNA", at positions 330 to 525 of the family's 1533-position model. The record is from RNAcentral. Lineage: Bacteria; Bacillati; Bacillota; Clostridia; Eubacteriales; Clostridiaceae.
UCCCUUAUCCUUCGGGAAGCCACCAUAGGGAAAUUUGCCAAAGGGGGGAAAGCUUGACGAGCACGCCGCGUGAGUGAAGAAGGUCUUCGGAUCGUAAAGCUCUGUUGUCAGAGAGAACAGGGAUGAGAGUAUACCUUUCAUCCUUGGCCGGUCCCUAACAAGAAAGCCCCGCUUACUUCCUGGCCGCCGCCCCGGGAAUU